GCGGGCGUAGCUCAGGUGGUUAGAGCGCCAGGUUGUGGCCCUGGAGGUCGCGCGUUCAAGUCGCGUCGCUCGCCCCA
RNAcentral lists this transfer RNA (77 nucleotides) under Pseudomonadota bacterium. RNAcentral's name for it is "tRNA-His". It matches the Rfam family "tRNA". From Rfam's summary of the family: Transfer RNA (tRNA) molecules are approximately 80 nucleotides in length. Their secondary structure includes four short double-helical elements and three loops (D, anti-codon, and T loops). Lineage: Bacteria; Pseudomonadati; Pseudomonadota. RNAcentral also lists the same sequence under 1 other name. The record is from RNAcentral.